RNAcentral lists this ribosomal RNA (281 nucleotides) under uncultured bacterium. RNAcentral's name for it is "partial 16S ribosomal RNA". It matches the Rfam family "Bacterial small subunit ribosomal RNA", at positions 30 to 314 of the family's 1533-position model. The record is from RNAcentral.
AUUGAACGCUGGCGGCAUGCCUUACACAUGCAAGUCGAACGGCAGCACGGGAGCAAUCCUGGUGGCGAGUGGCGAACGGGUGAGUAAUAUAUCGGAACGUGCCCAGUCGUGGGGAUAACGUAGCGAAAGCUACGCUAAUACCGCAUACGAUCUAUGGAUGAAAGCGGGGGAGUCGCAAGACCUCGCGCGAUUGGAGCGGCCGAUAUCAGAUUAGUAGUUGGUGAGGUAAAGGACUCACCAAGCCGACGAUCUGUAGCUGGUCUGAGAGAGACCAGCACACU